AACUAUAACGGUCCUAAGGUAGCGAAAUUCCUUGUCAGGUAAGUUCUGACCCGCAUGAAAGGCGUAAUGAUUUGGGCACUGUCUCAACAGCCCGCCCGGCGAAAUUGUAGUACCGGUGAAGAUGCCGGUUACCCGCGACAAGACGGAAAGACCCCAUGGAGCUUUACUGUAGCCUAAUAUUGGGUUUCGAUGUUGCAUGCACAGGAUAGAUGGGACACUGGGAAACAAUCGCUUUGGCGGUUGCGGAGUGGCCGUUGGGAUACCAUCCUUGCGAUAUUGGAAUUCUAACCUGCGGCUCUGAAUCGAGUCGGGGGACAUUGUUAGGUGGGCAGUUUGACUGGGGCGGUCGCCUCCUAAAGAGUAACGGAGGCGUUCAAAGGUUCGCUCAGCUUGAACGGAAAUCAAGCAAAAGAGUGCAAACGCAGAAGCGAGCCUAACUGCGAGACUGACGGGUCGAGCAGUAACGAAAGUUGGAGUUAGUGAUCCGGUGGUAUGUGAGUGGAAAUGCCAUCGCUCAACGGAUAAAAGUUACCCUGGGGAUAACAGGCUGAUCUCCCCCAAGAGUCCACAUCGACGGGGAGGUUUGGCACCUCGAUGUCGGCUCAUCACAUCCUGGGGCUGUAGUAGGUCCCAAGGGUUGGGCUGUUCGCCCAUUAAAGUGGUACGCGAGCUGGGUUCAAAACGUCGUGAGACAGUUUGGUUCAUAUCCAUCGCGGGCGCAAGAAGUUUGAGAGGAGCUGCUCCUAGUACGAGAGGACCGGAGUGGACGGAUCAACGGUGUCCCAGUUGUCACGCCAGUGGCACGGCUGGAAAGCCGCAUCCGGGAAGGAUAAACGCUGAAAGCAUCUAAGCGCGAAGCCAACCUCAAGAUGAGACUUCUCAUCAGCAAUGAGUAAGACCCCUUACAGACGAUGAGGUAGAUAGGUUAUGAGUGGAAGAGCCGCAAGGCUUGGAGCGACAUAAAACUAAUAGGUCGAGGUCUUAACUUA
Molecule: ribosomal RNA, 989 nt
Filed under: human gut metagenome
Description: bacterial LSU rRNA
Rfam family: Bacterial large subunit ribosomal RNA
Source: RNAcentral